GCGGGCCCAUGGGGUGACCACGGCCUCGCCCCCUGCCGGGAGGCGGGGGGCGAGGCCGGUCGCCGGGCCGGAGCCGGUCACGCCGACCGGGCGCGUAC
This 98-nucleotide transfer RNA is filed under the name Streptomyces abikoensis. RNAcentral describes it as "tRNA-Gly". The record is from RNAcentral. Lineage: Bacteria; Bacillati; Actinomycetota; Actinomycetes; Kitasatosporales; Streptomycetaceae.